This 253-nucleotide ribosomal RNA is filed under the name uncultured bacterium. Its description in RNAcentral is "partial 16S ribosomal RNA". It matches the Rfam family "Bacterial small subunit ribosomal RNA", at positions 524 to 776 of the family's 1533-position model. The record is from RNAcentral.
UACGUAGGGUGCGAGCGUUGUCCGGAAUUAUUGGGCGUAAAGAGCUCGUAGGCGGCUUGUCGCGUCGGAUGUGAAAGCCCGGGGCUUAACUCCGGGUCUGCAUUCGAUACGGGUAGGCUAGAGUUCGGUAGGGGAGAUCGGAAUUCCUGGUGUAGCGGUGAAAUGCGCAGAUAUCAGGAGGAACACCGGUGGCGAAGGCGGAUCUCUGGGCCGAUACUGACGCUGAGGAGCGAAAGCGUGGGGAGCGAACAGG